ACCUGUUGCGGGCGGCCGCGUAGUGGCACCCGCAGCACCAGACACACACCGUGCCAUGGGAAGAACGUGGCACUUCAGGGCGUU
Molecule: non-coding RNA, 84 nt
Organism: Actinobacteria bacterium OK006
Lineage: Bacteria; Bacillati; Actinomycetota; Actinomycetes
Source: Rfam